AGGGAAUAUUGGUCAAUGGAUGCAAGUCUGAACCAGCCAUGCCGCGUGCAGGAAGAAGGCCUUCUGGGUUGUAAACUGCUUUUGUCAGGGGAUAAAACGACCAUGCGUGGUUAAUUGAAGGUACCUGAUGAAUAAGCCACGGCUAACUACGUGCCAGCAGCCGCGGUAAUACGUAGGUGGCAAGCGUUGUCCGGAUUUAUUGGGUUUAAAGGGUGCGUAGGCGGCCUUGUAAGUCAGUGGUGAAAUACUCCAGCUUAACUGGAGGGGUGCCAAUGAUACUGCAGGGCUUGAGUACAGAUGAGGUAGGCGGAAUUGACGGUGUAGCGGUGAAAUGCAUAGAUAUCGUCAAGAACACCGAUAGCGAAGGCAGCUUACUGGGCUGUAACUGACGCUGAGGCACGAAAGUGUGGGGAUCAAAC
This 419-nucleotide ribosomal RNA is filed under the name uncultured bacterium. RNAcentral's name for it is "bacterial SSU rRNA". It matches the Rfam family "Bacterial small subunit ribosomal RNA", at positions 356 to 773 of the family's 1533-position model. The record is from RNAcentral.